CUCUAAAACGACGUCGU
Molecule: small RNA, 17 nt
Filed under: Arabidopsis thaliana (thale cress)
Lineage: Eukaryota; Viridiplantae; Streptophyta; Magnoliopsida; Brassicales; Brassicaceae
Description: ATSL237680
Source: RNAcentral